CUAGAGGUCAUCUCCAGCCUCAACGAGUCUGUGAUCCUAUAAGAGGGAUGGUGGGAAUGGGUUGGUGGUUGGAUUCGACAAUCGUAGAGGUCUUCUCCAACCUCAGUGAGUCUGUGAUCCUAUAAAAGGAAUGGUGGGGAUGGGAUGGUGGGUUUGUGUUGGUGGUUGGACUUGAUCAUAGAGGUCGUCUCCAACCUUAAUGAGUCUGUGACCCUAUAAGGGGGAUGGUGGGGAUGGGAUGAUCCUAUAAUUGAGGAUAUUUGGCGUGGGUCAACCAUCAGACUUGAUGAUCGUAGAGGUCGUCUCCAACCUCAGUGACUCUGAUCCUAUAAGAGGGAUGGUGGAAAUGGGAUGAUGGUUGGACUCAAUGGUUGUAGAGGUCUUCUCCAACCUCAGUGAGUCUGUGAUCCUAUAAGAGG
This 419-nucleotide long non-coding RNA is filed under the name Gallus gallus (chicken). Lineage: Eukaryota; Metazoa; Chordata; Aves; Galliformes; Phasianidae. The record is from RNAcentral.